AUGGCUAUUUAUUGGAUUUACGACUUUGGAGUUGACUUUUGAGAAGUAAUAAAUGGAGAUUUCAGACUUUUUAUUUAUUUAAGUUAUUUUGGAAAAUACGGGUGUUACAAUUUGGUAUCAGAGCGGGGUUCCGUCCCGGCUCUGACCCGGGACGGCGAUUUAUGGGACUCGGAUUACAGCGGUUUUCAAUGUUUGUUGGGGAUUGGGAAUUUCAAAAUAAAAGUGACACUCUUCUGUCCAGAAUCAUUAGUUUAGUAGUUAGCGUUUCUGACUUUUUCUUUUGGUGUGGAUGAAAAUCAAGUUUCUGUUUGUUUCCUUUUGUUUUCAUCUCGUGUUCUUCUCUCCUUCGUAUUCGUUGAAGUUUUUCUCGGGUUCCGUCUUGGAAUUCGGGACGAAUUCCGAUUAAGUGGGGAAGAAUUGUAACGACCGUGUCCCAAAGUGGGAAAGCCCAUUUGUUUUUAUUAAUUAAAACCCAAAACCCAUCUUUUUAUUUUGUCCCACAUUGGAAGUUUAGAAAACCUACCUCCCUUCCCUUCUCUUAUAUAAGAAACUCCACCCUUUCUCUUUAUUCUCAUCAAGUCAAAGUAUUUCUUUGCGUGUGACGAGUUGUUGUUGAAUUAUUCGACGACUAGUCACUAGUGAAUUUUCUGGUGGGAUUUCCGGGUGAGCUUCCGGCGAGAUUUCUGGGCGAGCUUCCGGCGGGAUUUCUGGACGAGCUUCCGGCGGAUUUUUCUAUUGACCUCAGUUGACCGCAUCUUCCGUUGUUUAUUUCCUGCCAGUGGCUAAGGUGAGACUGACGAGCAGGAGUGAUUGCGAUCGGACUGGUGCUUUGGGAGUUUUAUUUCUUUCUUUUUCAGACUUGCGGAUUUUAUGCUUUUAUCGAUAUUUUCGGGAUUUAUUAUGUUAUUUGGAUUUAUGGCUAUUUAUUGGAUUUACGACUUUGGAGUUGACUUUUGAGAAGUAAUAAAUGGAGAUUUCAGACGUUUUAUUUAUUUAAGUUAUUUUGGAAAAUACGGGUGUUACAAUUUGGUAUCAGAGCGGGGUUCCGUCCCGGCUCUGACCCGGGACGACGAUUUAUGGGACUCGGAUUUCAGCGGUUUUCAAUGUUUGUUGGGGAUUGGGAAUUUCAAAAUAAAAGUGACACUCUUCUGUCCAGAAUCAUUAGUUUAGUAGUUAGUGUUUCUGACUUUUUCUUUUGGUGUGGAUGAAAAUCAAGUUUCUGUUUGUUUCCUUUUGUUUUCAUCUCGUGUUCUUCUCUCCUUCGUAUUCGUUGAAGUUUUUCUCGGGUUCCGUCUUGGAAUUCGGGACGAAUUCCGAUUAAGUGGGGAAGAAUUGUAACGACCGGGACCCAAAGUGGGAAAGCCCAUUUGUUUUUAUUAAUUAAAACCCAAAACUCAUCUUUUUAUUUUGUCCCACAUUGGAAGUUUAGAAAACCUACCUCCCUUCCCUUCUCUUAUAUAAGAAACUCCACCCUUUCUCUUUAUUCUCAUCAAGUCAAAGUAUUUCUUUGCGUGUGACGAGUUGUUGUUGAAUUAUUCGACGACUAGUCACUAGUGAAUUUUCUGGUGGGAUUUCCGGGUGAGCUUCCGGCGAGAUUUCUGGGCGAGCUUCCGGCGGGAUUUCUGGACGAGCUUCCGGCGGAUUUUUCUAUUGACCUCAGUUGACCGCAUCUUCCGUUGUUUAUUUCCUGCCAGUGGCUAAGGUGAGGGUCUAUUCCGUAAAUUCCGUACCAGUGUAGAAUUCUCUCUAUCGUAGUUUAGAUUUCGAAUCAUGAUCCGUCUGUUUGAAUUGAGUCUUGAUUGUUAGUUAGUUCAUUCACUGUAAACUGGAAUUAGGGGUCUAGAGGAUUCAACCGUUGAUUGAUUGAGUGAUGUUAAGAGAUGCGAUAUAUAUAUGUAUGUACACAUAGCUAUGAGUAGGGACUAUGUGCGCGGGCGGGGGCUCAGAGAUGUCUGGGCUAGCGACGCUACUUUGAUUGUGCGGGCAGGGGUUCAGAGACGUCUGGACUUGCGAUGCUACUUGUGCGGGCGUGUGGUGCGGAGACGUUUGUACCAUGGACGCUACUUGAGAGGGCGGGGGUACAGAGACAAACUGUACUAGCGACGCUACGUAUUAUAUAUCCAUAUGAGGAGAUGCGGGGUGUAUGGACUAGCUAUAUC
This is a long non-coding RNA of Brassica napus (rape), 2159 nucleotides long. RefSeq lists it as uncharacterized. Lineage: Eukaryota; Viridiplantae; Streptophyta; Magnoliopsida; Brassicales; Brassicaceae. The transcript has 4 exons. The record is from RefSeq and is a predicted model, not a curated record.